Molecule: long non-coding RNA, 929 nt
Organism: Benincasa hispida (wax gourd)
Lineage: Eukaryota; Viridiplantae; Streptophyta; Magnoliopsida; Cucurbitales; Cucurbitaceae
Source: RefSeq, a predicted model, not a curated record
AUUUUUUUAAAUAGGGUGCCUCAGAAAGCGUGUAGUAGAGAAAAAAAAAAGAAUUUUCUUCUUCUUCUUCUCUUCCUCCCAGUAGUUGCCGCCUCUCCAAAUUUUUCUUUUCUUCCCAGCCGAUCUUCUUAGUCCAGCUGCACGAGGAGUCCACCGCAAGUCCAGCCACUCGCAGUCGCGCUUCGUUUCGUCCGACAUACGCCACAAGUCUAACUGCUCGCAGUCGCACCUCCUUUCGUUCGACGACCAUCGCGCGUCAGGAAACUCCUUCUUUUUAAUUUCGUGCAUCCCGCUGUAGGUUUGAGCUGCUUGGCCGCUUAGGACAGCGCUGCUCGCACUCAGCUUCCAUCUUCUCCAGUCGCGCCCUGCCAAGUUCGCCAACCGCCAGCCCAGUCCAAGCGUCAUCCGCCUGUCCUAACACAGACAGUUCCAGUUGUCGUCGAAUCGGGAAUCUAGUAGUGGUGAAGGUGGCUACUAGGCAAAGUGAAAGUCCGUUCGGACAGUUCGGUAUCCUUAGGUUGGACGAUUUUUUUUUUUGGUGUUGGGAGAUUGUUCGAGUGUGUGGGUUUUGUUGCUUUUGUUCUUGCAUUGAAUUGCUCGUUGGGUCAAACUUAGGUAAGUGGUUUACUACCAGUUUUCCCUCAAUCCCAAGCAUGUGUUACUUAUUGGUUCCUUAGUUGAAAUAAAAUAUUUUGAUAUGCCUGUUGGUCAGAUGAAAAUUUUAAAAGCUUACGCUUAUGUCACAGUAUGUCAAUGUUGUAUGUCGCUGCAAAGUUUGAUGGAUGGAUAAAUUGUGAACUAUUGGAUGAUCUUGGCAUGAUUUAUGACCUUGUUUUCAUGCUUAUGUCUGUUUGAGAUUUCAGUGACUGUUAGUGUUGCCAUUGGGCUAUGCACAUCGCAUGUUGUGAGCCUUCAGGCCACACCCUAUG